Molecule: ribosomal RNA, 484 nt
Filed under: uncultured bacterium
Lineage: Bacteria
Description: partial 16S ribosomal RNA
Rfam family: Bacterial small subunit ribosomal RNA
Source: RNAcentral
AUUGAACGCUGGCGGCAGGCCUAACACAUGCAAGUCGAGCGGAUGAAGGGAGCUUGCUCCUGGAUUCAGCGGCGGACGGGCGAGUAAUGCCUAGGAAUCUGCCUGGUAGUGGGGGAUAACGUCCGGAAACGGGCGCCAAUACCGCAUACGUCCUGAGGGAGAAAGUGGGGGAUCUUCGGACCUCACGCUAUCAGAUGAGCCUAGGUCGGAUUAGCUAGUUGGUGGGGUAAAGGCCUACCAAGGCGACGAUCCGUAACUGGUCUGAGAGGAUGAUCAGUCACACUGGAACUGAGACACGGUCCAGACUCCUACGGGAGGCAGCAGUGGGGAAUAUUGGACAAUGGGCGAAAGCCUGAUCCAGCCAUGCCGCGUGUGUGAAGAAGGUCUUCGGAUUGUAAAGCACUUUAAGCUGGGAGGAAGGGCAGUAAGUUAAUACCUUGCUGUUUUGACGUUACCAACAGAAUAAGCACCGGCUAACUUCGUG